RNAcentral lists this ribosomal RNA (253 nucleotides) under uncultured bacterium. RNAcentral's name for it is "partial 16S ribosomal RNA". It matches the Rfam family "Bacterial small subunit ribosomal RNA", at positions 524 to 776 of the family's 1533-position model. The record is from RNAcentral.
UACGGAGGGGGCAAGCGUUAUUCGGAAUUAUUGGGCGUAAAGGGCGCGUAGGCGGCUAGAUGUGUCAAAGGUGAAAUCCCUCGGCUCAACUGAGGAACUGCCUUUGAAACUGUCUGGCUUGAGGCCGGGAGAGGGUAGCGGAAUUCCCGGUGUAGCGGUGAAAUGCGCAGAUAUCGGGAGGAACACCUAUGGCGAAGGCAGCUUGCUGGGACGGUACUGACGCUGAGACGCGAAAGCGUGGGGAGCAAACAGG